This 253-nucleotide ribosomal RNA is filed under the name uncultured bacterium. RNAcentral's name for it is "partial 16S ribosomal RNA". It matches the Rfam family "Bacterial small subunit ribosomal RNA", at positions 524 to 776 of the family's 1533-position model. The record is from RNAcentral.
UACGGGGGGGGCAAGCGUUGUUCGGAAUUACUGGGCGUAAAGAGCGUGUAGGCGGCCGUACAGGUCAGCUGUGAAAACUCGAGGCUCAACCUCGAGACGUCGGUUGAAACCGUACGGCUAGAGUCCGGAAGAGGAGAGUGGAAUUCCCGGUGUAGCGGUGAAAUGCGCAGAUAUCGGGAAGAACACCCGUGGCGAAGGCGGCUCUCUGGGACGGUACUGACGCUGAGACGCGAAAGCGUGGGGAGCGAACAGG